RNAcentral lists this non-coding RNA (28 nucleotides) under Cricetulus griseus (Chinese hamster). The record is from RNAcentral. Lineage: Eukaryota; Metazoa; Chordata; Mammalia; Rodentia; Cricetidae.
ACGCGUGUGUCCGAAGGGAGAAUGCGUG